This 1236-nucleotide ribosomal RNA is filed under the name Triticum aestivum (bread wheat). Its description in RNAcentral is "partial small subunit ribosomal RNA". The record is from RNAcentral. Lineage: Eukaryota; Viridiplantae; Streptophyta; Magnoliopsida; Poales; Poaceae.
CAUAAGAAGACAACACAUGAAGAUUUCAAAGAUCAAAGGUUACUUGAUUGGGUCAAAGAAAGGUGCCCGGAAGUUAAACUUGCAUUUGAUGAGCUAUGUCCUAAAAAUGCCAAAAUGACUUCAGGAACCAUGCAAAAAGAACUUGCUAAAUAUUGUGCAAUGGCGGUCACCAACGCAAUCAAAGAAGAGAUGGAUGGUUGCCUUUUCACUGUUCUUAUUGAUGAGUGCCGUGAUAUUUCAGUGAAAGAGCAAAUGGCUGUGGUUGUCAGGUUUUUGAGCAAAAAAGGAGAGAUCAUUGAAAGAUUUUUGGGUAUUAAGCAUGUCCCAGACACAACAUCAGCAUCUUUGAAGAAGGCUCUGUUGGAGGUUUUUGGUACACAUGGUUUGCUUGUUGCAAAACUGCGAGGGCAAGGGUAUGAUGGUGCAUCUAAUAUGAGAGGAGAAUUCAACGGCCUUCAAAAGUUAAUCCGUGAUGAGAAUCCUUAUGCUUUCUAUAUUCACUGCUUUGCCCACCAACUACAAUUGGUAGUUGUUGCUGUUUCGAGAUGUUACAAGGGUGUUGAGGAUUUUUUUGAGUAUGUGACCAUGAUUGUCAAUGUCAGUGGUUCAUCUUGCAGGAGGAAGGAUAAAUUGCUUGAUAAGCAAAAGCAGAUUCUUUUGGAUAAGAUUGAGAGGGGUGAGAUGCCCACGGGAAGAGGGAAAAAUCAAGCAACCUCAUUGGUCAGACCUGGAGAUACACGUUGGGGCUCUCAUUACACAACUUUAUCUCGCAUUGAAUCAAUGUGGGAUGCAGUGAUAGAAGUUUUGCGCAUUGUUGAGGAGGAUGUGCGUGUUCCAUGUAGGGCAGGAGGUUUGGUUCAUCAAAUGGAGACUUUCAGCUUUGUGUUCAUCCUAAAGAUGAUGUUAAAAAUCCUUCGUAUGACGAAUGAUCUAUCUCUUCUAUUGCAAAAGAAGGAUCAAAAUGUUGUUCAGGCUAUGUCAUUGGUUACGGAUGUGAGAACACGUUUGAUCAAUUGGAGAAAUGAUGGUUGGGAGCCACUCUUGGAAGAUGUCAAAGCAUUCUGCACGAAAAAUGAAAUUCCAAUACCAAGUAUGGAUGACACCUUUACAAAAUGGGGGAAAUCAAGAAAAGGUGGAAGAAACAAUGUAACUGCUGAUCAUUUUUUCCGUGUGGACACCUUCUAUGUUGCUAUAGACUCCAUCAUCACGGAGUUUGAUCAUUGUUUUAAUGAGCUA